Molecule: long non-coding RNA, 1430 nt
Organism: Prunus dulcis (almond)
Lineage: Eukaryota; Viridiplantae; Streptophyta; Magnoliopsida; Rosales; Rosaceae
Exons: 2
Source: RefSeq, a predicted model, not a curated record
GGCACCCUGUCGUGUUCUACCUUCUCCAAAAAUGAAAAACCCGUCAGUAGAUUCACCCUCUCUCUAACGCAUGGCACAGAGAGACGCAAUGCCUGAUCGAGACGAGAUGAGACUCUCUCUCACCCUCUCUCUAAUGCAGCGAUCUUAGAUCUUCUCUUCUCAUUCUGAGAGGAAACAAGAAUGAGCAUCUGCCGAGUCGACUCAAUGUGCAAGAAAUACGAUAAGUACGACAUCGAGAAGCAGCGCGACCUCAACCCUUACGGCGACGAUGCCUUCCCUCGUCUUUGCGCUCACGUCAACUACAAAAUUCUGACGACGGACCAAAUCUUGAUUGGUGGAGGAAGUUCCUAAGCUGCGAAAUUGGCUCAAAAAACAGCCAUUUGCUCUGAUAUACGAUCUAGCCUACUUAUCGCUUCUUCAGAAAAUAAGGUUGGAAUAAUUUUGCACUGCAUUUGUCAUUGUACGUUGAGUGUCUAAUUUCUCUUGCAUAUCUUUAAAUAAUUUAAUUCUAACUUAGGUCUCAAUAAAGUUUUCAUUAAUGAUUACCACAAUAUUUGUUGGAGGGAGGACAGGAACAUAAGUUUUGGACUGGGCCCGAGUUAUCCACAGAGUUCACUAUUUGACGCUUGUUGAUCCUCUCUACAUCUCAGUAGAUAGACCUUGGUGGAUUUCGCGUUGCCUGGUGAAUACAGAGCGAAUAGAAAAUUGUCAACUGGUGAUAACUGAUUGUGGAAACGAAAAUACCGAACAACUAGACUUUCCGAUAUCCUGCAGUGUUGGAGAACAGGUUUUCCAGGAAAAUAAAUUGCGCUUAAAUGACUGUGUAUUGGAUGGAUUCAGUAUUUUACCUGAAGAAUCCCAGCAGAAAAAUUAUCUUCAAUGUCAAUUCAAAAGAACCAGAAGGAACUGGUGCCUGCAGAAGGGAAUUAGAAGUAGUGGAGUCCCAGAAUGUGGAUAAUACUGCAUCAGUAUCUGAAAACAACAAAACAGUGGUUGAGAGAUACCCUGGACUGACAGUUAAGAAAUGAAUUUCAGCUUCAUUGUCAAGGCUUUCUUUGAAAUUGGACCGUAUGGAUGAAGUUCAAAUCACAGGUGCAGUGACCUCUCAGAAUUUUAGCUCGACUCAAAAGUAAAAAGUGUGCAGAUAUCAGCUCAAAAGUAAAAAGUUGUGGUGGAAGUGGUUUACAUAGACCACUCUAAACAUAAAAGCUUGGAUGAAGCAAAUAAAGAGGUUGAUGGAGGUGGUGACAUGAUGUAGGAAUCAUUUCCUGGAGAUCCACCAGAGCAGGCUUCAGUCCCAAACUGCGCAUGCUCAACAGCUGUUAAUAAUGUAUAUGAACUAUCUAUCUGGAUGUUCUGAGCUUCAACAUCCAAAUAUUGGUGUCAUACGAGUGUCCCAGGAUAUUAUCCUGGAUCUGGUUUGAAUGGAA